Molecule: non-coding RNA, 2159 nt
Organism: Amborella trichopoda
Lineage: Eukaryota; Viridiplantae; Streptophyta; Magnoliopsida; Amborellales; Amborellaceae
Source: RefSeq, a predicted model, not a curated record
CAAAAAUCCAUUUGAAUCUCCCAUGAUUUCAUCGUCUCCCCAACGGUCGGGAAGACCCAAAAUUCUGGCCAUUAAAAAACCCUCUGUCCCCAUUUUUAAAAUUGAAGCCAUAAACACCCAUAUACCCCUCUUGCUCCAAGUUUUGGCACCUGAACACCCAUUCACCCCGCUUGCUCUGAGUGUUGGCACCUGCGUAUUGUGAGAGAGAGCGACUGCUUCUAAAAGAAAUUUGAUAAUGUUUUUGAUUGAAGAUCACACACCCCAACGUUAUCAACAGAGGAAGUUGGGUUCCAUGGGUUCACACACUCCAACGUCAUCAGCAGAGGAAGUUGGGUGUGUUUCUGCCUACACCUCGUUCAGAGAAGAGAAGAACAUUGGGGACUCUUGGGUUAAUGUGCAGGUUGUGUUAAGAUGCAGGUGAUGAUAGAAGAAAUUUGACGACUUUAUGCAGGGUGAAGGAUAUUCUAGAUGCGAAAUUGAUCAUGGUGUGUAUUUUAAGGGAUCAACAUGUUAUUUCUUGAAUAUUUUGUUGUUUUAUGUUGAUGAUAUGCUUAUUGCUAGCAGUAAUCUGAAAGAAGUCAAGCGUUUGAAGCUUGAUACAUCCAAGCAUUUGCUGCCAAGGAUCUUGAGCCAACUAAGAAGAUAUUGGGCAUGCACAAUCACAGAGAUAGAAAACAUGGUACUUGGUUAAGUCAAUCUAAAUAUAUUUCUAAAGUUCUAGAGUGCUUUUAAUAUGAUUGACUGUAAAUCAUUAGCUGCAAAGUUUAAGCUGUCAAAAAACUGCUCUCCAAUGAGUGAAGUAGAUAAUGACAAGAUGAAGAAUGCUUCACAUACUUUUGCAGUGGGUAGUUUCAUGUAUGCAAUGGUUUGUACUAGACCUUAUAUUGCCCACGCAGUGGAAGUUGUUUCUAGAUAUAUAUCUAAUCCAAGUUGGGAAGAUUGACAAGCAGUGAAGUGGAUCAUUCGGUAUUUGAAUGGAACAAGAAAUGUAUGUAUGUGCUUGGGAAAUUCACCUUUUGAAAGUUGUUGGUUUUGUAAAUGCAGAUUAUGCAUGGUGCUCUGACAUUAGAAUGUCCACUAUUGGCUACAUUUCAAGUUGCUGGUAGGGCAGUCAAUUGGAUGUCAAGGUUACAGGAUAUUGUUUCCUUGUCAUCAACUGUAGCUGAGUAUGUUGGAUUGUCGAAGGCAACAAAAGAAAUGAUUUGGUUGAGGAGGUUUGACCAGUUUGGAAUGAGACAAGAACAAUAUGUUGUUUAUUUUGAUAAUCAGAGUGCAAUUAAUCUGGUUAAGAAUGUACCACAACACUCCAAGGAAAAGCAUAUGAAGUUCAUUACCACUUCAUCCAAUAAGCCUUAGAAUGUGGAGAGUUGCAAGUGGAAAAAUCCACAUUGAGAAGAAUGUAGAUGAUAUGUAGGCAAAAGUUGUUUCAACAUAUAAGAAUAAGAUGUUUAGCAAGAUUUAAGGGUUGGAGGAGACAUAACAUCGAGGGGAUGGAGAAUAAUGCAUUUGUGGUUAUUACAAAGGCUCGGUGAUUUGUCUUCAAGUGGGAGAUUGUUAUAUAUGUGAAUUCAAAUCACACAUGGUUUUGUUUGCUUCAUUCACUUAUGCUUCUUUCUAACACGUCUCUCUUACUUUCUAGGCCUGUGGAUUGCAUCUAAUUGUGUUUUUGAAGUUCCCAUGUAAAAGGGACUUGUUAUUUUGCUUUUAGAGUGAGAAAGUAGGAAAAGAAGAGAGCUCUCAUGGUGGGUUUUCAGACCAUGUUUCAUGCCCUAACUGUUAGAGAGAGAAAGUGAGGGUUUUUGGGUGUUGCAGGGCCUAUUCUAGCGAGAGAAAGUGUCAAAGGAGUACUCCAUUUGGGUGUAUUUGGUGCUCAGUUUAAAGAUAGAAAGCUGCUAUAAUUUGGAGCUUUUGAGUCUUGUUUUCUCUUGUAAUCUCUUUGAAUAAAUAAGUGAAGCCUCGCACUUGCACUAUUCUUCUGUGGAUAUAGGUUAGAAUUUGUUGUUGAACCACGUUAAAUCUUAUGAAUUUUGAUGGUUCAUUGCUUUCCCUUGUUUUCUUAUAUUAUUUUCUUGAUUGUACCACAUUGUUUCCAUGGUAAGUUGUGUAGCUUGGAUGCACAAACUGUUUAUGCUUCACACCCCCUGGCUGAUUUUUCCAUC